ACCUUCUGACUUGCCACAUGUCAAAAUUUGGCUAGUGGAGCCACCUGUUCAAACAAGGCCCGAUUCCGUUUGAACAAGGUGAGUGUCAGAGAUAAUUUCUAAUAGUUCCACAUGUCAGUUUCUUGUCGAUGGAAAAUAUGCUCUGAUCUAACAAGUCCCCCACCCUAUUUGAGCGAGGCUCCUUCAAACUAGUUUAUACGGAGGGUGAUCGGAUAGAGAGAGUGGGGGAAAAAGAGAUUUCCUUCUCUGGCCAAGUUGUUCCACUUCCGACCCCCACCACCCCUCUCACCGUUAAGCCCACCUCCCCUGCAAGCCAUAACCACUUUCCUUUCACCGUGAAACUCUUCGACAUGCCAACGAGAGCUAGAAAUUUGGUGAGCCAACAUUUGCUCCUUUCAUCUGAUUCCGGCGAGCUACUUGUUGUGUGACCACGGGUUUCUACCAUUUUCAACCUUUUAGCUCAAAUUGAGCCACAUCGUGAGAUACAAAGGAUUUAGUUUUUAGGUCGAAACUUUGUAGUAAGUUUUCGACCACCACUGGUCGUAUUUCAGAGAGGCAUCCGGGUGCAUUGUGGAACAAAUCCCAUGGAGGAGCUGGAGUGAUUGGCAUUUUUCAACGAGUAUUAUAUUUCAAAUUAUGUUUUUGGGGUAUUUGGAUUGUUGAUUUUAUGUGAUGUUUAAAUUAAUAAGGAUAUAUAAAUUAAUAUACAUAUAUAUAUAUAUAUAUAUAUAUAUAUAGAUUUUUGAGAGAUUAA
This is a long non-coding RNA of Ziziphus jujuba (common jujube), 754 nucleotides long. RefSeq lists it as uncharacterized. The record is from RefSeq and is a predicted model, not a curated record. The transcript has 2 exons. Lineage: Eukaryota; Viridiplantae; Streptophyta; Magnoliopsida; Rosales; Rhamnaceae.